This 626-nucleotide ribosomal RNA is filed under the name Apiotrichum domesticum. RNAcentral's name for it is "eukaryotic LSU rRNA". It matches the Rfam family "Eukaryotic large subunit ribosomal RNA", at positions 47 to 663 of the family's 3401-position model. Lineage: Eukaryota; Fungi; Basidiomycota; Tremellomycetes; Trichosporonales; Trichosporonaceae. The record is from RNAcentral.
UAAGCGGAGGAAAAGAAACUAACAAGGAUUCCCCUAGUAACGGCGAGUGAACCGGGAAAAGCUCAAAUUUGAAAUCUGGCUGUCUUCGAUAGUCCGAGUUGUAAUCUAUAGAAGCGUUUUCCGUGCUGAACUGUGUCUAAGUCCCUUGGAACAGGGUAUCAAAGAGGGUGAUAAUCCCGUACUUGACACAACAAUCAGUGCUCUGUGAUACGUUCUCUACGAGUCGAGUUGUUUGGGAAUGCAGCUCAAAAUGGGUGGUAAAUUCCAUCUAAAGCUAAAUAUUGGCGAGAGACCGAUAGCGAACAAGUACCGUGAGGGAAAGAUGAAAAGCACUUUGGAAAGAGAGUUAAACAGUACGUGAAAUUGUUGAAAGGGAAACGAUUGAAGUCAGUCGUGUUCAUUGGAUUCAGCUAGUUCUUCUAGUCUACUUCCUUUGAACGGGUCAACAUCAGUUUUGUCCGGUGGAUAAAGGAUUUAGGAAUGUAACUCCCUCGGGAGUGUUAUAGCCUAGGUUCACAUACACUGGGUGAGACUGAGGACUGCAGCUCGCCUUUUGGCCGGGGUUCGCCCACGUUCGAGCUUAGGAUGUUGACAUAAUGGCUUUAAACGACCCGUCUUGAAACACG